Molecule: unclassified non-coding RNA, 261 nt
Filed under: uncultured fungus
Lineage: Eukaryota; Fungi
Description: partial contains small subunit ribosomal RNA, internal transcribed spacer 1, and 5.8S ribosomal RNA
Rfam family: Eukaryotic small subunit ribosomal RNA (bases 1-73)
Source: RNAcentral
GCAAACUUGGUCAUUUAGAGGAAGUAAAAGUCGUAACAAGGUCUCCGUAGGUGAACCUGCGGAGGGAUCAUUACUGAGUUAUCUAACUCCCAAACCAUUGUGAACUUACCACUGUUGCCUCGGCGGCAGGCUCUGUAACAGGAGUGGCCGCCGGUGGACUACUAAACUCUUGUUAAUUUUUGUCAUUCUGAAUAAUAAACUUAAUAAGUUAAAACUUUCAACAACGGAUCUCUUGGUUCUGGCAUCGAUGAAGAACGCAGC